AUUGAACGCUGGCGGCAUGCCUUACACAUGCAAGUCGAACGGCAAGCACGGGACUCGGGCAACUGAGCCCUGGUGGCGAGUGGCGAACGGGUGAGUAAUGCAUCGGAACGUGCCCAGUAGUGGGGGAUAACUAGUCGAAAGAUUAGCUAAUACCGCAUACGACCUAUGGGUGAAAGCGGGGGAUUUUCGGGCAACCGAGAACCUCGCGCUAUCGGAGCGGCCGAUGUCGAUUAGCUAGUUGGCGGGUAAANCCCACCAAGGCUUCGAUCAGUAGCUGGUCU
RNAcentral lists this ribosomal RNA (281 nucleotides) under uncultured bacterium. RNAcentral's name for it is "partial 16S ribosomal RNA". It matches the Rfam family "Bacterial small subunit ribosomal RNA", at positions 30 to 293 of the family's 1533-position model. The record is from RNAcentral.